ACGGGAGGCAGCAGUGGGGAAUAUUGGAUAAUGGGGGAAACCCUGAUCCAGCGACGCCGCGUGAGUGAAGAAGUAUUUCGGUAUGUAAAGCUCUAUCAGCAAGGAAGAAAAUGACGGUACUUGACUAAGAAGCUCCGGCUAAAUACGUGCCAGCAGCCGCGGUAAUACGUAUGGAGCAAGCGUUAUCCGGAUUUACUGGGUGUAAAGGGAGCGUAGACGGUAAAGCAAGUCUGAAGUGAAAUCCCGGGGCUCAACCCCGGAACUGCUUUGGAAACUGUUUAACUAGAGUGCAGGAGGGGCAAUCGGAAUUCCUUGUGUAGCGGUGAAAUGCGUAGAUAUCAGGAGGAACACCAGUGGCGAAGGCGGAUUGCUGGACAGUAACUGACGGUGAGGCGCGAAAGUGUGGGGAGCAAACAGGAUUAGAUACCCUGGUA
RNAcentral lists this ribosomal RNA (434 nucleotides) under uncultured Lachnospiraceae bacterium. RNAcentral describes it as "partial 16S ribosomal RNA". It matches the Rfam family "Bacterial small subunit ribosomal RNA", at positions 341 to 792 of the family's 1533-position model. Lineage: Bacteria; Bacillati; Bacillota; Clostridia; Lachnospirales; Lachnospiraceae. The record is from RNAcentral.